Molecule: small RNA, 297 nt
Filed under: Marmota monax (woodchuck)
Lineage: Eukaryota; Metazoa; Chordata; Mammalia; Rodentia; Sciuridae
Source: RNAcentral
GCCAGGUGCUGUGGCGCUCACCUGUUGUCCCAGCUGUGUGGGAGGCUGAGGCAGGAGGAUUCUUUGAGGCCAGGAGCUCAAGACCAGCCUGGGCAACUUAGGCUCCAUCUCAAAAGAAUAAAUAAAGCAGAAAAGCCGAGUCCUGGUGCCUGUGUUGCUCGCACUGCGCUCACAGCUGGGAGGCUCAGAGGACACCUGUCUGCCAGAGUUUGGAGCCUGCUGUGAGGUAGAGGCCCAAUUAGGAUCUUCUGAAGCCUCUGUCCUUGGUGGCCUGACCUCCACGUGAUCUUGCUUCUC